RNAcentral lists this transfer RNA (93 nucleotides) under Vibrio vulnificus. RNAcentral describes it as "tRNA-Ser". It matches the Rfam family "tRNA". Rfam says of the family: Transfer RNA (tRNA) molecules are approximately 80 nucleotides in length. Their secondary structure includes four short double-helical elements and three loops (D, anti-codon, and T loops). Further hydrogen bonds mediate the characteristic L-shaped molecular structure. tRNAs have two regions of fundamental functional importance: the anti-codon, which is responsible for specific mRNA codon recognition, and the 3' end, to which the tRNAs corresponding amino acid is attached (by aminoacyl-tRNA synthetases). tRNAs cope with the degeneracy of the genetic code in two manners: having more than one tRNA (with a specific anti-codon) for a particular amino acid; and 'wobble' base-pairing, i.e. permitting non-standard base-pairing at the 3rd anti-codon position. The record is from RNAcentral. Lineage: Bacteria; Pseudomonadati; Pseudomonadota; Gammaproteobacteria; Vibrionales; Vibrionaceae.
GGUGAGGUGGCCGAGAGGCUAAAGGCGCUCCCCUGCUAAGGGAGUAUAUGGCUUAUAACCGUAUCGAGGGUUCGAAUCCCUCCCUCACCGCCA